CACACAUUUUAAUUUUUGGAAUAACAAGAAAAAAGGGAGCUGUUACAAUUCUGAGCAUACCAUCACAAACCUAAUUACAUACAUGAAGACAGCUCAUCACAAGCUUUGUUCUAUCCAUAAAAUAUAGCUCAUCACAAGCUAGUUUCAGCAACAAGGUUGAAAACUUUCUGAGCUAAUGGAAAAAAAUAAUAAUGUUGAAAGAGCCAGUGAAAUUUUCAAAGCACAGGCUCAUAUUUACAAACAUGCAUUUGCUUAUGCAAAUUCCAUGUCCCUGAAUUGUACCAUUCAGUUAGGCAUACCAGAUAUUAUUCAUAACAACAAAAAACCAAUCACUCUUCCUGAUCUACUUUCAGCACUAAAACUUCCCUCAUCAAAAUCAAAUGGCAUUCAUUGACUAAUGCGUCUGUUGGUGCACUCUCAAUUCUUUGAUAUAACAAAGCUUGAAGAAAACUCAGAAACAGAAGGAUAUGUUUUGACAACUUCUUCAAGGCUGCUUCUUAAGAGUGAAAUCCCAAAUUUGUCACCUUGUGUUCGAGUAAUGGUUGAUCCUGUCCUUGUCACUCCUUGGCAAUUAUUGGGAGAAUGGUUUCACAAGAAUGAAGAAGCGACGCCAUUUGAGACAGCACAUGGGGUGCCUAUGUGGGACUUUUGUGCACAAAAUCCAAUAUUUGACAGAGUUUUUAAUGAAGGAAUGGCUAGUGAUUCCCAAAUGAUGAGAUUAGUUGUUAACGACUGCAGGGAAGGUUUUGAGGGACUGAAUUCAUUGGUUGAUGUUGGCAGUGGUACUGGCAUUGUAGCUAAGACCAUCUUGGAGGCAGGGGUGGCUCUAUGCUUUAUAAGAUAAGGCUUACGCCUUAGGCCUCCAAAUUUUGGGGCCCCAAAUUUUUAUCAAGAACAAAUUACCUGUUAAAAAAUUUAUAGAAAAAAAUAAUUAUUUAUGAUUAAAAGUAUAAUAUUUUAAAAAUAUAUUAUUUUACCCACUUGAACAUCUUUUGUACUUUGUUAAAAAUAAAAAUUAAUAGUGAAAAGUGUUGAACAAAGUGCACUACAAAUUCUUUUUUAUUUGUUUUUAAAUUUUAGUUUCAAGCAUUACCUCAAGCAUAUUAAAAUGGGGUAUAGCAAGUCAUCAAUUUCUUGAGAUUCUAUGGUUCUAACUCUUAUCUUUAUUCAAUAUUUGUCAACUUAUUACUUAUAGAAAUAAAAUUUGAAUAAAUAUGUAUACGAAGUUUGUUUAUAUUUGAGGCCUCGAAUCGAAAUUUUCGCUUUAGGCCCCGAAUUACAUUGAGCCGCCCCUGCUUGGAGGCAGUACCUCACUUGAAAUGCACUGUCCUUGAUCUUCCACAUGUUGUUGCCAAUAUGCCACAGAGUGAGAAUUUAAUUUAUGUAGGAGGGAAUAUGUUUCAGUCUAUUCCCCAUGCUGAUGCAAUUUUACUUAAGGUAUGCACAAAAGUUUCAUCCUUAACAUGUUCUAGUUUUAUUUUGCUUGAUAUUGGAGGGGGGGUGGAAUUACAGAAAAGAAAUUUGGCUGCAUUUCCUCACCUAAAAUGCACCAUGUUAGACCUUCUUCAUGUUAUUGCUAAAAUGCCACAGACAGAAAAUUUGAAAUAUGUGGGAGGUGUCAUCUUUCAGUUACUAUACGGUUUCUGUAUUAAAGGCUAUAGGCCAUCGGUAUCAUGAGCUUGCUAUUGGGGUUGAGUUAGGCUCAAGUAUCAUAUCUUUACUUUUUUUCUUGCUAGAAGAGAGAAAUAGGCAAUUUAAAUCCCUAUUCUUUAGAAUUCCUCUUGUCUGCUUUUUUGCUCAUGGCAAUGUCUAACAAAACAGUUAAGACUGUCCUAUGCUUGAGAAAAUAUGACAUUUUGCAGACUGUUAUGCAUAAUUGGAGUGAUGAAGAUUGUCACGAGUUUGUGAUAUUUACAGUGUCUGUUAUCCUGUCCAUGUCAAUGUCCAACAAAACAGUUAAGAAACUGAGAAAACAUGACAUAAUUUUUGCAGCAUGCUAUGCAUAAUUGGAGUGAUGAGGAUUGUGUGAAGAUACUAAAGAAAUGCAGAGAAGCUAUCAAGGAUAAAUAUGGAGGAAGAAAAGGGAAGGUCCUAAUCAUUGACAUGGUAUUGGAUAGAGAUGAAGAAGAAGCAGACAUGACUGAAGUGAAGCUCAUAUUUGAUGUACUAGUGAUGGUUGUAGCUACUGGAAGGCAGAGAACUGAGAAAGAAUUGGAAAAGCUAUUCCUUGAGGGUGGUUUCAUGAGCUACAAGAUUACACCUGUCCUUGGCCUAAGGUCCCUCAUUCAAGCUUUCCCUUAAAAUUAUCUGCUCUAUGUCUCUUAAGCUUCAUUUGUUUUCAUUAAGAUUAAGACGUUUGAAUCUUAAUGCACUUCUGAACGAUUACAAUACUGUCUCUAGAUCUAAGCACAUAAUGAUAAUGAUUGUUUGUUUUUCAACAUCCAAAUGUGCAUAAUCUAAAUAAAUAUACAAUUCAAAUAAAAAAUUAAUUAAAUAUUAAAAAAAUAUUAAUUGAAUAAAAUAAAAUCAUUAUUUGAUAAAAGAAUGUAAUAAUUACGUUCACUAAUGAUAGUAGAGAUGGUUUUUAGUGAUGGUGAUGGUGGUACUGAUUGAUGUUAAGUGGAUAGUAAUGAUGGUGUUGAUAGUUGUGAUGGUGGAGGUGGUUGGUGUUGUAAUGGUUGUCAAUUACCAAGUCAUGAGCCUCUAAAGAAAGAUAAAAUCGCUAAGUACAUAGAGCCUUCGGGGCAUAUAUUGGAAUACUGAAACAAUUGAAUAUGACUAAUAAGGAUAAAAUCCCCCACCGAACGAAUAGCAGAAGAAUGUUGAAUAUGGAUGCUGAGUCCAGCUGGUGGUACCAACCUCAAUCUUCAUCCAGAAAGGAAGAGUAGGCUCUCAUUAACUAUCCUAAAUGGUGCUGCAGGACAUAGUGAGGUAAAUAUGAAAUGCAGUAAAACAUAUAUGUAACAUUGGUUAUCAAAAAAAAAAAACAUAUAUGUAACAUUUCACAGUCUGAAACUAUAACUGGUACUUCUAUUGAAAUUUGUAACUGAAACUAAUAACUGGACUGAAACCGAACUGACAGUUAUUCUUGAAACCUUAUUUUAUCAGGAAAUAUUCUAUUAUGAUAAGUUACGAAUAAUGAACUUGCAUGUGUGUGACUGGUGCUACGUAUGGGGAGGGCCAACUUAGCUUACGAGCAAGAAUGGGGUAGCUAACAACUCGCCGCUUUGGCACUCAUGCUCGGGGAAGUGGUAACUUCGCCCAGCUGAAUGUGAUCAGAUUAAUGUACUGAAACUGGAUGCAGGAAUUACACAAAAUGCACAAAUUAAGACAAUCAAGUAAUUUUAUUCACACAGAAGUACUUCAACAUAAUGCAAUUAUUUAUCUGAAAACUGUGCUAGGAUAGAAUACGGAGAGUUAAGCACUCUGCUUGUCCCCUAAGAACUUAACCUCAAAACUUCUUUCAAACACUUGGUAGACAUGCUUUUGUCAAUAAUCCAUUUAGGAAGGUAGCCUUAACGUACCUCAACUUUCGACUGAAACUUGCGUUUUUAACUUCCCAGAUAUCCGUCAAAUGCCGAAAUCUACAACCAUCAGGCCUGAACACAUCAACACAAGAUAGUUCAAUAUUUCUUGAAAAUCUCAAAUUUUCAUGCUAGGGUUGCGUUUUAAUCAAUUUAAGUCUGAAGUUAUCCACUAGAAUUAUUCCAUCAAAUUUUGACUAAUUCCUAAUUUCCUAUUUCCAUUCAUGGCUUCUUUCAGUUCCACAAGUAAACUACUACAAAAAAUAUUGAGCUUUAUGAUUUCAUACUAUCCCAAUAAUACCAAUUUGUCAGUUCAAGAUAGUGGGUUUACUUUUGGAAGCAAUUCCUCAAACCCUACCCUUUAACUUAAAGGGUUCUUGUUGACAUUUCCGGUAAUGUAACUAUUCAUAAGUUAAACUAGUGUUAAUUGACCCAAAUUAACUCAAACUCUGCUGGAAUUAUUACCUUGGAUAAUGUAAGUAAGCAGUUUGUUUUUGCCUUCAAAAGCUCUUUAAAUGCUGAAGAAGUGGGUUUUUUCUCCCUCUAACUGACCGUAUUUAUACUUUCUGAUUGACGGACACGCUGAAAACAAGUCUGAGUUUUCGCCCCCAUGGAGCGCCGGUUCCUGCCGCCUUGGCCAAUCAAACACACUCUCCUAUCCUCUCUCAUUCCCUUGGCUCACCCUUCUCUCUGUGUAUAUGUAUUUUAGA
This 4234-nucleotide long non-coding RNA is filed under the name Solanum tuberosum (potato). Its description in RNAcentral is "long non-coding RNA (STUB_LNC003010)". Lineage: Eukaryota; Viridiplantae; Streptophyta; Magnoliopsida; Solanales; Solanaceae. The record is from RNAcentral.